Pocillopora verrucosa is the source of this 3882-nucleotide non-coding RNA. The record is from RefSeq and is a predicted model, not a curated record. NCBI's taxonomy places the organism in Eukaryota, Metazoa, Cnidaria, Anthozoa, Scleractinia, Pocilloporidae.
CUUGGGCGUAAAUCUGGUAUGGCGAUGUUGGCUUAAACUGAAAAUGAUAAACAAUCAGCAUAAUUUGCCAGCCAUAAUUCCCUGAAGUUUGCGAAGGACUCUCCAAGGAACAAGUGUUCUGUUUUAAGACCAUUUCAACGCCAUGGAGUGCCGUUUGAACUUGGAAGUGGUUGGUAAAGUCUUGUGCUUUAUUUUGCUAAUAUUGCAAGGGGCCAUUCUGGAUUAUUACCUCUACGAACAUCAUGAAUACAAAUCACUUGGAUUUAUAGCGACUGAUGUUGUAGUUCUCGCCAUCUGGAUAGGCGUGAUGUUCAUGGCCAAACGAAAGUUGCUCACCGAAAAAUGGAGAAAGGUUCGACGAGGAAAAGAAAAAACUGACGGGAAACAUCGGCCUGUUGAAGUAAAGAAUGAUGGUGCGGACGAAAUCGCCUUUGUCUUCAUCGCGUGGCUGGCAUAUGUUGCCAUCACUCUUGUUCCUGAGAUAGCUGUGAUUUUUAAAAGAUUUGCUGAUCAGCUCGGAGAUGCCAGAGUGUUCGGGCAAAACUUUCUUAAAGUUGCACUUUGCAUCACUCCUAUGUUAUUUCUGUUGCUGGUUAAUUCACUUCACGACGCCAAGCGCUACUCUAAACGAAGAAUCUACAUUGACAAACUGUCAGCUGGAGUUACGCUGGAUCUUCUAGACAGCAUUGAUAUUUUGGAGAUUUUGUUUAUAGAUGAUGUAGAACUAAAACUUCCAGUUGCAUUGGAAAAUGCCAUAAUUGCAUUUGCAUGCAUCAACUUUUUCUUGCCUACUUUAGCACUGCUUGAAUUGAGUGCAAUUGUAAAAGGUGAGGUUCGUUCUGCAACUUUUCAGAUCUUGUACUCGAUAUCCUAUAUUUUUCUGGUAAAUGUGCCCUUGGGGGUCAUCAGGAUUAUCCUAUGGACCAAAUUUAACCAAGACGUGUCAGUGUUUAUUGGAAAGAAUAUCAUUGCAUCAGCCAUCUACAUAUUUGAUAUCUACGCAACCUGUGGGCCAGAGGAACCAUUGCGGUGCCCUAGGUGUGGAAAAUGUUAUACAGCAGAUUCAGUUGAUGGCCACAAAGCUCUAUGUUCUUGUACUGAACUUGGUGGGGAUGAAACUAGUACACCAAUGACAUCUCCCUUGGCAGAUACGUUUCCUCCAGUUUAAAGAGGGACAGGAAACAAGUACAAUUUACGAAUAUGUAAAGACAAGCCUCAAUUGAGGCUAACUAAGCAAUCAAAAAUCUGUGCAUGUGUGAAUGUUGUCAUGAUUAGAUGGUGUGCUUUCAAGUUGUCAGAACCAAGUUGUAUUACAUGAGGUACAAACAAUCAUACAUCUUAGGAAGUUUGGGAUUUUUCUGUACCAAAUAGCUUUAUUUACAACUCUCAAAACAACAUUAUUUUGUUGUCAUGAUUAGAUGGUGUGCUUUCAAGUUGUCAGAACCAAGUUGUAUUACAUGAGGUACAAACAAUUAUACAUCUCAGGAAGUUUGGGAUUUUUCUGUACCAAAUAGCUUUAUUUACAACUCUCAAAACAACAUUAUUUUGUUUUAAGAGUUGUGAAAAAAAUUAUUUGGUAAAUGAACAAUACACUGAUUGUUUAAAUAAGCUCUUUGUUCUAAAAGUCUUAAGUUUUUCUUUUUCCUACUUUUGUCUUGUUCUGCAGAUCUCUUUGAAGGUUUCAAUUUUUUCAGAUAUUUUGUUGGACAACUCAGUUGUUUUUUUGUUUGGAAUUUUUCUCCUUGUGCAUGCUUUAUGUUUAACUGUUGUAGUUAAAAGGGUGAGGUAUGGGAUGUUUUUAACCUCUAAGAGUGAUAAGUAUCUAAUUUCAGACUAUAACAUCACCAUAAAUCCAACAAAAAUAAUGAAAAUACAGGAAAUGAUCCCAAACUCAAGACGCUCUUGAUUGUUAUACAAAUUCUCUUUGCAUUUACCAUAGAAAAAUUAUAGAGAACAGUAAGAAGAGUAUGCAUUCUGAUGUUAAGAUGUAAAAGGUUGAGAAAGAAACUUUUGAUGGUUGCAUUGAUUUUGGUUUACCUUGGUCAGUGUUUGGUCAAGAAAAUUUGCACCACACUCUACUGAAGCCAGUCAUAUAUCAAAACUGAAAACAUUUUUGCAUGGUCACCCAAGUUUUCUUUGCCUUAACUCUGUGGCUUUCUUCAACCUCCUAUUGGUUCCUUGUGUUUUGACCCUUUCUUCUUUUUGGCUGUUGUGAUGUUUGCUGAAUACAGGCUUAUUUGUAGUAUAAUAAACCCUUUAACUCCCAGAUCAAAUUUGUAAUUCUCAUUACUGUCAACCAUACAAUUCUUAGAAUGUUAGUUCAGAGAAUUUAGUAUUGAAUCAACUUAUUAUGCCCAAACUGAUAUUUUUCUUCAUUCUCAGCACUUAUCUGGUUGAUAUUGUAUUGAUAUUGUGAGGAGAAAUUCUGUCUUGAUCACUUGUGGGAGUUACAGGGUUAAUACACAAUAGCUGAAUUUUGCUUAUAAAGCUAAGGGAAUCCUUUUUUUUUUAAGGCCAUGGUCAUGAACCAGUAUUUUUUUUCUUUCAACAGUAUUUGAUAACAUAUAUGAGUUUUUAAUUGAAUAAGGUGUGGACCUUCAAUUAUUUUGUUCUCAGAACACAAAGAUGAAGAUCCUGCUACUUAUUACAGAUUUUUUUAUUUUUUUAGGCUGGUCAUUAUCUUGAGAAUUUAAUGUACAAUUAGUGAUUAAAUUUUUGAUGCUAUUGCUGUUGUUUAGAUCUAAGUUGAUCCACCAAAUAGAAAACCUGUUAUCUUCAGAAUCAUUACUUGAGAUUCAACCUCCCCCCCUCACCUCCCCUGUAAAAUAUUACACUUUAUGUGGUACUAUUUUCACUGAUGUUAAUGCUGUUAGGUUUAUGUUGUGUCCAAGUCAUAAGAUUCUAUUUACAAAUUAUGGCCCCAUAGGAAACACUUUAGUACAAUGUGCCAGUAAAUUUGAUAGUGGUUGUGCUGAUUUGAAAACUGAUUUGUUAAAGCUUGGCAUGAAGGGUAUGUAUUAUUUUGUGUGUUGUUUUGUUUUGUGUGUUUUUUAGAUAAAAACAAUGUUCUAUUUCUAAUUCAGGAAACCAUGAACAUCUGAAAUGCAUCUUGAAUAUUUGCUGUACAAGUAUUGCUGCAACAGUUAAGAUUAAUGCCUGAUUUGCAUGAUUUCCUUGAGACAAUCUUGUUUUAGUAACAUUUCUGGUGUUUCACAAAUAUUUUCAGAGUUUAAGCUUUGUAUUCCAGCACCAUACAUGUAUACCUUGAGGGCUAACUAUAGCUCAUCUUUAUUUUAGCUAUAAGAAUCACAGGGGACUUCGGCUCUAUCAGAGACGGAUUCCAGACCAGCAUAAUCCAUUUGAUGGCAAUGAAAUCCUAUAAAUAUUACAUUCAUCGAUUCAGAGACUGAGAAUGUUGACAUCAAGCUCGAACGACAAACUCUGCACUGCUCCACGAUCACUAAAGAUUGUCAGGUAUCUAUCUGAAAUUUUUAAUUUCAUAAGGUAUCACAAAGCCCUUCAAACUUAAAUUAUUCCCAGUUUUUUUCAUGACUUACAAAGAUGGGUAAGAAUUGUCUUUGAACUAGUUAAAAACUCAAACUUACAGUUCUUCUAACCUGAGACGAAAACCUGCAAGUUUUUGCCUUGACUCGCAUACAUGAACAAAUAUUGUCUCUGAAUGCACUCAAAACUCAGACUGACAGUUCCUCUAACCUGCGAUGAAUGUUCACUUGUAAAUCUGAAAAUUUCAAUUCGAAAAAGAAAAUUUUUUGAAUUGUACCAAGCUAUUUGGAAGGAAAAUUUUACUCAAAGAGGAAGACUUUUCUUUGAAACAAGAAAAGCAAGAAAGAUAACUGACAAAAUUUUAAUUUUAAAUGGGAA